GUGGGGAAUAUUGGACAAUGGGCGAAAGCCUGAUCCAGCCAUGCCGCGUGUGUGAAGAAGGUCUUCGGAUUGUAAAGCACUUUAAGUUGGGAGGAAGGGCAGUAAGUUAAUACCUUGCUGUUUUGACGUUACCGACAGAAUAAGCACCGGCUAACUUCGUGCCAGCAGCCGCGGUAAUACGAAGGGUGCAAGCGUUAAUCGGAAUUACUGGGCGUAAAGCGCGCGUAGGUGGUUUUGUAAGUUGGAGGUGAAAUCCCCGGGCUCAACCUGGGAACUGCCUCCAAAACUGCAUGACUAGAGUACGGUAGAGGGUAGUGGAAUUUCCUGGGUAGCGGUGAAAUGCGUAGAUAUAGGAAGGAACACCAGUGGCGAAGGCGACUACCUGGACUGAUACUGACACUGAGGUGCGAAAGCGUGGGGAGCAAACAGGAUUAGAUACCCGAGUAGUCC
This 450-nucleotide ribosomal RNA is filed under the name uncultured bacterium. Its description in RNAcentral is "partial 16S ribosomal RNA". It matches the Rfam family "Bacterial small subunit ribosomal RNA", at positions 354 to 796 of the family's 1533-position model. The record is from RNAcentral.